RNAcentral lists this long non-coding RNA (2028 nucleotides) under Mytilus galloprovincialis (Mediterranean mussel). Lineage: Eukaryota; Metazoa; Mollusca; Bivalvia; Mytilida; Mytilidae. The record is from RNAcentral.
UGAACUUAUAUCCAGGGUAACAUUACUAUUAUAUUAUUGUUAUCUCUCUAGUGUUUUACUUUUUCUUUUUCUCUAUUAACAUAUCAAAUUAUAUGUAUAUGUAUGAAAAGGUUUAUUGAUGAAAUAUUUAAAAAAAAAAACAGUGAAGUCUUGUUAAUUUGGAAAGUGACAAUUCAUUAUUUUUUUAAUGUGGCAUACUAUGGUUUACUCUUUACAUGAUGAGUUUGCAGACACUUUAUGAAAUAUAUACAUAAUAUUUUGUUCCACGAUGAUAAAACUCCUUAUUUUAUUUAGAUUUUUUAUUAAGAUUUUCAUUCUUGAGUUUUAGCAAGUCUCUCAAUGAUCUCAUUCAUAAGUUAGGUUUGUUUUAUUUGAUCGUUAUAGACCUUAUUAACAAAGUUUGGUUUUAUAAAAUAUUUUAGUUUUGAUAACUUUUUAUCAGUUCUAAUAGAUUUAUUUGACUUUAGUUGUUAAAAAUUUGACAGUUUUUAGCAUGUCUGAUGGAUGUCAUCUAUCUCAGGUUUGAGGGAUUGUAUCUCGGAAAAAUUUGACAUAUUUUUUUUAUCAUCAACUUAAGCUUCAUUUUUGUUUAUAUACACUUUUUAAUAAUCUCUGGAGCCUUAUUCUGACUUUGUCAAUAUAUUAAGACAUUGUUAUGUGUGUUUUACAUAAAGUGUAGUUUUUUCUUUCUUUAAUUGUUGAUGUUUUUAGGAGUCAUACAAUCAAAAAAAGCUACCUCCUUUACAAAAUUCAAAAUAUUUUCAACAGAUUUGUUGUUUUGGAUUGGUGCUUAAUAGAUCAAAAUAGUGAAAACAGGUGUAUUUUGCAAGUGUCUAUUAACCUCAAAAAUCUGUUCAGCCAAAAAAGAAUUAUUUUAGAUAUGCUAUAAAACUUUUUUUGUAUCUUAAUUUGAAUUUGUGAACGUUUUUUACUUUUUUGAUUAGAUGUGCCUCAAUAACUUUAUAAGUAUAUUUCUAGAUUUUAUUUUCCUCAAAAUAAAAAAAGCUUUUUAAUGAGCACCAAUUUCAAAAAUGAAAUAAACAAAGUUUUUUGUUUAUGCAUGAAUCUCAUUUUAUAGAAUUUAGUCAUUUUUGUUAUUUUUUCCUAAACUUUUUAAAAUGCUUAUACUGUUUUACUCAAGAGUUGACUCUACAGUUUGCUAGAUAAAAUGUGUUGUUUGAUGGUUGUUAAAAAUUUGGAUUGUUAAAGAAAUACAUUUGAACUUUGUCUUAUUGUUCUUUCUUUUUCCCAGAGAUGUUCGUUUUAUUUUUUGUACCUUUGAGUCAUAUCACAUUUCUUGUAUUAUAUAUACAGAUGUAAAGCUUUAUAAAGACAUGAAAUGUCUGUUAUUAUUGCAUGUAAAUAUACAGCUUUAAAGAUUCCUUAUAUUUAAAAAUGAACAAUUUAUCUGAAUAUACAGAAAAUUAUUAAGCACAUAAUCACUUUAUUUGUCUCAGAACAUGACAGUUUGAUUUAAUUUUUAGCAGAGUUGUGAUAAUUUUAGACUAUGCAUUAGAUGGUAGGUUUCCCUUAGAGAUAAAUACAUAUAAAUGAUACUAAUAUUUUCAGGGGUGGAUCAAGUCAGUUUAAAAAGGAAGUGUACCCAACCAAGAAUAAAGGGAGAGGGGUUCCAACAAUAUGUCCCAUUCAAAUGCAUUGGUCAUCAAAAAAGGGACCUGUUCCAACCCACAGAACCCCCACCAUGGAUUCACCACUGAUUUUUUGGUAUCAACUUUAAUACAGAAAUUAAAAAGUACAAAUAUUCAGAUUUUGGGGUUUUCAGACAUGCAUGUGUCUGUUUUAUUUUCUGAACAAAGAUAUCAACCAGCUGCAAGUUAGUCAUGCAGUUAUAAUCCAGUCUUGAUAUGGUGUUAGUCUUCACGUAAAUUUACUACAGAAGUUACCACUAUUGUUUUAUAUUCUACAGAUAACUUAACCAUGUUAAGGUGGUACCCAACACUUUAACUAAAAUUAAUUUGGCUCGUUUAAUUUUCUUGAAAUUUUGACAAAGUAUUUACUUUGACCCUU